RNAcentral lists this ribosomal RNA (321 nucleotides) under Triticum aestivum (bread wheat). Its description in RNAcentral is "partial small subunit ribosomal RNA". The record is from RNAcentral. Lineage: Eukaryota; Viridiplantae; Streptophyta; Magnoliopsida; Poales; Poaceae.
AUGAGAGGGGUUCAUGCCAUGGCCAUCUUGUUCGUGGGAUGGCUCACGGUCACUGCACAGUGUCGUAUGGAGGCUGGAAAACGAAGCUAUCUAGACGGUGGCGAUAACAAUGCUACCGUGGCCAACGCGAUAUCAUCGUUAGAUGAUGCCAAGUUUACCGUCAUAUUGUGCGGCAAAUGGAGUUGCGACUUCGGUGACUGCUACUGCUGUGACAUCCGGGAGACCCCAUGUUUCAAGACUUUGGAUGAGUGCAAGUCUAAAUGCCCUAAGUGCAAUCCCAAGUGCCCGCCGCCUGAAUCUUCGAUAGAACUACACGCAUGA